GACGAACGCUGGCGGCGUGCUUAACACAUGCAAGUCGAACGGAAAGGCCCUGAUUUUGUGGUGUUCUCGAGUGGCGAACGGGUGCGUAAGACGUGUGUAACCUGCCCUUGACUUUGGGAUAACUUCAGGAAACUGGGGCUAAUACCGGAUAGCAGCCGCUGUUGCAUGGUGGGGGUUGGAACGUCUCGGCGGGUGGGGAUGGACUCGCGGGUUAUCAGCUAGCUGGUGGGGUAGUGGCUUACCAAGGCUUUGACGGGUAGCCGGCCUGAGAGGGUGAACGGCGACAUUGGGACUGAGAGACGGACCAGACGCGUACGGUAGGCAACGGUGGGAAAUAUGGCACAGUGGGCGCACGUGUGAUGAAGAGACGCCGGGUGCGGGAUGACGGCCUUCGGGUUGUAAACCGCAUUAGCCUGUGACGAAGCGGGUGUGACGGUACUGGGUAAAGAAGCACCGGCUAACUACGUG
Molecule: ribosomal RNA, 468 nt
Filed under: uncultured bacterium
Lineage: Bacteria
Description: partial 16S ribosomal RNA
Rfam family: Bacterial small subunit ribosomal RNA
Source: RNAcentral